This is a long non-coding RNA of Neopelma chrysocephalum (saffron-crested tyrant-manakin), 1128 nucleotides long. RefSeq lists it as uncharacterized. The record is from RefSeq and is a predicted model, not a curated record. The transcript is spliced from 2 exons. Lineage: Eukaryota; Metazoa; Chordata; Aves; Passeriformes; Pipridae.
AUCCGGAACCAGAUGGAAGUGGAAGAGGAGCCUUUGAGAACCCACACGCAGGAGAAAUAGUAACACAGCAGUCAACUUGCCCUUGCAUCAAGGGCAGCUAAAACUGUGUUAGCAAAAAUAAGAAAGACUCUGCUGGGCCAAGUGCCAUGUCCUAGCUCCAUGCCUCCACUACUGAGCAACCCCCUGGCCGACAGCACUUCACUCCUGUCCGAGGGCUCAUGGCUGAGCACUGUAGCAUCGACAGGACAACGGCCCUGGGCUGCUGGCAGGUUGCAGGCAGCCACCCCUGUGCUGUUGCUGUGGUGAUCUACAACCGUGACAGCUUUGAGAGUGAUGGAUGGAGCAAAUGGAAAAUCAUGAGAAAUCAGAGGGUAGAGGCUGCAGCAGGGCAUCCGAGCCAUGUGCUUCAGCUGGCAAGAAAAAGGGAGUGAAGAGGACAUGCAGGAGCUUGACAGAAGCAGACUAAAAUGGAAGGGGAAAAUGAAACACAGAAGAAAGCUAGCAGAGAUGCUGGUUUUAGGGUUACACAGGGAGUAGGGAUUUGGUAGACAAUUUGUUCUACUACAGACAUCACAAACAACUUUAGGCAACUCAUCUCAUCAGUUUGAACAUCAGUUUCUCUCCUGUAAAAAGUUUCUAUGAGAGGAACUGUCACAAAAUAUCCUGGGGAUUAUAAAUAUGAAAUGGCAACCACCUUGUAAGUGAAAAAAAAUACUCUGAACAACAUCCAGAUAAAAAAGAAGGCUUUCAACAGUCUCAGAAAAGUCAGAGUUCAUGGAAGAAAGCAAACAGAAAGAGACAGGAGGGGAGUUGAAUAUGUUUCUGCUUGUCUCACGAGGAAUCUAUACACAGUGUAUACAAUUGCUAUACUUUUAGGAAGCUCUUUUGGCUCAUCUGUUGGCAUCAGCAUUGCAGGGCUGUACCCCUAGUUUGCAAAUGUGGUGUUAUCUCACAUCCCUCAGUACCAGAGAAGGAUAAGGGCUUUCUGCUGAAAUAGUAUUUUCAUUUCUCUGCUGUCAUUCUCUUCUCACUAAGUGUUUUCCAGUGAAUCAUUGUUUUGAACCCUGAGUUGUACUGGUGUGGCUGAAAGCAUAGACUUUAAUUUAGAUAAAGUGGAGACCUCUUGGA